UACUUCUAGUGUCAGCCAAGGAAAACCUUCUUUAAGACGAAUUAAAGGGAGACUACACAGAAGCAAAAGCCUUGAUAGCAUCGAUUUCUGUGAACUCACUAGACAGCUGGUUGGGCACUGACAACAGAAAGACAUGAGGGUGAGAGAGAACUCUCUGGAAGCUCAUCAUGAAUAGGCUGUCAAGGGAGGUGGACUCAAAGCUGCCUGUAUAACUUGUGGGAUCCAGUGCACAGUGAAAGUACAGGACCCUCUGUUCAAAAAGCAGAAAAAAGUAUCCUUAAAGGUACAUAUAGUUCAUAUAGUUUUAUCAUUUAUCUUUACAUUGGACUAGUUUUUUUGUUUUUUUGUUUUGGUUUUCGUCUUUGUUUUGGUUUGCUUUUUGCUUAUUUUAGGGCCACAACUGCAGCAAAUGGAAGUUCCCAGGCUAGGGGUCAAAUUGGAGCUGCAGUUGCUGGCCUACACCACAGCCACAGCAACGCCAUAUCUGUGCCACAUAUAUAGCCUACACCACAGCUCUUGGCAAUGCUGGAUCCUUUAGCCCAGUGAUCAAGGGCAUGGAUUGAACCCACACCCUCAUGGAUACUAGUUAGGUUCUCAGCUAGAUGAGCUACAAUGGGAACUCCUCAGGCUAGUUUUAAAUGCAAAGAUGAGAACAUUUAACUUGGGAGUUCCUGCUGUGGUGAAGAGGGUUAAGGAUCUGGCAUUGUCUCUGUGGUAGUAUGGAUUCAAUCCCCAGCCUGGUGUACUGGGUUAAGGAUCUGGCAUUGCUGUAGCUGUAGACAGGGUCACAGCUGUGGCUCAGAUUCAAUCCCUGGCCUGGAAAACAUCCAUAUGCUACAAGUGUGGCCAAAAACAGUUAAAUUGUAUGAGGAAUUACUUAAAUUAUAUAAUUCCUAUUUCCUGGUUUGUCUCCGGAGUUUGUCCCUUAAGCUGGCCAGAAGACAUAAUUACAGGCAGACUUAGAAAGGUCUGGAGGAGAGAGGACCCCAAACAGGGACAGAUGGGGGAACAGCCUUGGACCUGGGAAUAAUCACAGGCAGAACAGUCCCUCAGGGGUUCUGGGGGUCCCAUUUGCCUGCUAGGCCUACCAGAACCCUUUUGUCACAAGCCGCCUGACCCAGAUGCCCUGGCUAUGCACAAGGUCUGGGGAAGUCAAGCUCCUCGCCUGCUGCUGCAGCCUGUAGCAACCCGCAGCCACCUAAGAUCCUUAAACCUCCAUGCUGGGAAGGCUUGGUGCCUGAAUGGGGGCCAAAAGAGAAGCUCCCCUGCCAAGGUGGGAAAUGGUGCUGCCUGCCAUCCAGGCUCUUAGAUCUCACUGGAUCACUGUCAGGGACAGAGGGCCAGGAUUCAGGAGUCAUGGAAAUGGCAGCACUCCCCAGGGAGGCACAGGGGACAGAACCAAUGUGAUUUGAGGCUCCAGGUCCCCAGUGUGUCUCCGUUGUCCCUUGACCCUGACUUAAAAAGCAUAAAUCCAGAGUAAAUUCAUAAAGUCAAGACAUUACUGCAGGGCACAUGCCCCAACUGCUGGCACACCUUUGAAGGUAGCCUGGGUGGGGUCAGGAUUUUACAUUUUUGUUUUUCUUUUUUCCUCUCUUUUUAAGAUGGGAGACACUAGGGGAAGCUUGAAUUCAGAGAGGUAGACUCUUAUACCUGAGCGAGGACAAAGAUGAUGGCCAGACAGAAGGGAUUGGGGUGGGGAGGGGGCAUCCCCCAGAUGGGAUUCCCAGCCCAGGGGGGAGGGAAAGAGAGAAGAAAAGCAUAUGUUUAAGGUAGGUGUGUCAUAUUUGGCAGGAAGGGAAAGGAGUUUCCAUUCCUUAGUUUCUUUUUUUCUCUGUGAAUUAUUUGCUUGGGCUGGGGAGGGGGUCUUUGAGGGAUCAUUAGGAGAGUGUAGAAGAUGGGAUGCAGAAGCUGUGAAGGAGAAAUGAGUCAGAGGCUUGACCUACAGUCCAGCUAAGUCAUGGAUCCCAUGGAAUUAAGGAGUUUCCAUUCUGCCUGGUUGUGUGACAUUCAGGACCCUAAAAAGAGAAAGCCCUAGGCAGAGGCAGGAUGGCCCCCUUCUUCCUUAGGAGGAACUCUUCUUAGGAAAGACUAUACUUUAUUUUGAACUGAAUAAAAAAUGCCUUGUUUUUAGUGUUUACAUAUCCUUUUGUUGUUGUUGUUGUUUUCCUUUGUCUUUUUAGGGUCAUACCCAUGGCAUAUGGAGGUUCCCAGAACUGUAGCUGCUGGCCUACACCACAGCCGCAGCAACAUGGGAUCUGAGCUGCAUCUGUGACCAAUACCACAGCUCACAGCAACGCCAGAUCCUUAACCAGGGAUCGAAACUAUGUCCCCACGGAUCCUAGUCAGAUUCGUUUCUGCUGAGCCACAAUGGGAACUCCUACAUGCCCUUUUAAAAAAUGAAAUUAUGUUGGUGAUAGUAACAUUCUUUUAGUUUUUUUGUGUGUGGCAAAACCUUUGAUAUAAAAUUUACAUUUUAUAUCAUAAACUCCCAUAAUGUUUGUUUUUAAAUGUCUUUACUUUGCAAAAUAAAAUAAGAUUAAAAUCUGGUCAUCCUAUAUUGUACCCCUAAAUUUUUUUUUUGAAAUGUUACUGAUCUGUGAAACCUAGAAACUUUAUGAGCCUUAAAGAGCUUUUCCUGGAGUUCCUGUCAUGGUGCUGCGGAAGCAAAUCUGACUAGGAACCAUGAGAUUGCAGGUUCUAUCCCUGGCCUUGCUCAGUGGGCUAAGGGUCUGGUGUUGCUGUGAGCUGUGGUGUAGGUUGAAGACACAGCUCAGAUCUGGCAUUGCUGUGGCUGUGGCGUAGGUUGGCAGCUAUAGCUCUGAUUUGACCCUAGCCUGGGAACCUCUGUAUGUUGCAAAUGCAGCCCUAAAAAGCAAAAAACAAACAAAAAAAAGCUUUUCCUUAUUUAAAGGGUGUCAUACACCUUUACUGGCAGAAGAAAACUGAAGCAAUUUAUACAGUUUUUAAAAAUAUGGCACAAGAGUUAGAUUGGAAUUAUUUAUUUUGUUGUAACAAUACUUUGAUAACGUUCUCCUAAUUCUAGUAUUUUGUAUAUAUAUUUUCUUCUGUAAAAUUAUCUAGAUUGUCUCAUUUUCUGCCACGGGAGCUUUAUUUCCCCUUUGUGUUUCAUGUGUAAACUCACAGCUCAUACUAAAAAUAACACAUACGCUUUUCUAAAGAUUUUUUUUUUUUCGUAAUGGAAACAUACUUAUAGAAAAUGUGGGUAUGGAUAAAGUUGUUUGUCUGGGCA
RNAcentral lists this long non-coding RNA (3250 nucleotides) under Sus scrofa (pig). RNAcentral describes it as "lncRNA (ENSSSCG00045006895.1)". Lineage: Eukaryota; Metazoa; Chordata; Mammalia; Artiodactyla; Suidae. The record is from RNAcentral.